GGAGGGUCAUUGGAAACUGGAGAACUUGAGCGCCUAAAAGGAGAGUGGAUUUCCUUGUGUAGCGGUGAAAUGCGUAAAGAUGUGGAGGACCACCUGUGGCGAAGGCUCCCCUCUGGGCUGUAAUUGACGCUGAGGCGCGAAAGGGUGGGGAGCAAACAGGAUUAGAUACCCUGGUAGUCCACGCCGUAAACAAUGAUUGCUAAUUGUAGGAGGUUUCCCGCCU
This 223-nucleotide ribosomal RNA is filed under the name Bacillus licheniformis. RNAcentral's name for it is "partial 16S ribosomal RNA". It matches the Rfam family "Bacterial small subunit ribosomal RNA", at positions 617 to 839 of the family's 1533-position model. The record is from RNAcentral. Lineage: Bacteria; Bacillati; Bacillota; Bacilli; Caryophanales; Bacillaceae.